AAAGAUAGCGUUGUAUUGUUUAAGCGUCUCGAGUGAUUCAUUAUUUUUUGUCAAAAAAUGCCGUCUUGUGUUAUUAAACAUUGUAAAAGUUGUUCCCAAAAACAAAAAAAGAGGAUGGAAUUUUAUUUCACAGAUUGCCGACAGAUGUUGUGCUACGGAAUGGGUUUCUAUUAUUCGCCAAAGCAGGCAAGACAAUAAUUGGCAGGCAUCAAAAUUUUGCGUUGUGUGUUCAUUACAUUUUAAAGAAGAUGGCUUAUGCUUUACCGAAAAAUGUCGUAGGUUGAUAAAAAAAAAUUCCAAUGUAAUUAUUUGUAAUACUAUCUAAUCUUUUGGUCUAGUCUUUAAAUUGUCUGUAUAUCGAUGUAUGUGGGUGUGUGAAUAAAUGAUGAUGAUGAUUAUUA
Long non-coding RNA from Melitaea cinxia (Glanville fritillary), 401 nucleotides. RefSeq lists it as uncharacterized. NCBI's taxonomy places the organism in Eukaryota, Metazoa, Arthropoda, Insecta, Lepidoptera, Nymphalidae. The transcript is spliced from 2 exons. The record is from RefSeq and is a predicted model, not a curated record.